RNAcentral lists this transfer RNA (77 nucleotides) under Brucella sp. 09RB8471. RNAcentral's name for it is "tRNA-Met". It matches the Rfam family "tRNA". From Rfam's summary of the family: Transfer RNA (tRNA) molecules are approximately 80 nucleotides in length. Their secondary structure includes four short double-helical elements and three loops (D, anti-codon, and T loops). RNAcentral also lists the same sequence under 1 other name. Lineage: Bacteria; Pseudomonadati; Pseudomonadota; Alphaproteobacteria; Hyphomicrobiales; Brucellaceae. The record is from RNAcentral.
GGGCCUGUAGCUCAAUUGGUUAGAGCCGGCGGCUCAUAACCGCUUGGUUGGGGGUUCGAAUCCCUCCGGGCCCACCA